This 19-nucleotide microRNA is filed under the name Glycine max (soybean). RNAcentral's name for it is "gma-miR1513c". The record is from miRBase by way of RNAcentral. Lineage: Eukaryota; Viridiplantae; Streptophyta; Magnoliopsida; Fabales; Fabaceae.
UAUGAGAGAAAGCCAUGAC